RNAcentral lists this non-coding RNA (101 nucleotides) under Capsicum annuum. The record is from RNAcentral. Lineage: Eukaryota; Viridiplantae; Streptophyta; Magnoliopsida; Solanales; Solanaceae.
GUGUUCGUAGAAAGGAGAGAUGGUUGGCAUCUCCCCCGCCAGGGACAGGAACAGCCUUCGGGCUUUACCUGUGUAUUUGUUGUCAUGCUCCACAGUUUUUC